CAGAACGAACGCUGGCGGCGUGCUUAACACAUGCAAGUCGAACGCGAAAGGGACUUCGGUCCUGAGUAAAGUGGCGCACGGGUGAGUAACGCGUAGAUAACCUGUCUUCAUGUCUGGAAUAAUACGCCGAAAGGGGUACUAAUACCGGAUAUUCUUGCUUUUCAUAAGUUAUGCAAGCAAAGGUGGCCUCUGCAUAUGCUACUGCAUGAAGAGGGGUCUGCGUACCAUUAGCUAGUAGGUGGGGUAGUGGCCUACCUAGGCGACGAUGGUUAGCGGGUCUGAGAGGAUGAUCCGCCACACUGGCACUGGAACACGGGCCAGACUCCUACGGGAGGCAGCAGUGAGGAAUAUUGCGCAAUGGGGGAAACCCUGACGCAGCGACGCCGCGUGAGUGAGGAAGGCCUUCGGGUCGUAAAGCUCUGUCAAGAGGAAAGAAGUGUACAAUGGCUAAUACCUGUUGUAUUUGACGGUACCUCUAAAGGAAGCACCGGCUAACUCCGUGCCAGCCGCGGC
This 513-nucleotide ribosomal RNA is filed under the name uncultured bacterium. RNAcentral's name for it is "bacterial SSU rRNA". It matches the Rfam family "Bacterial small subunit ribosomal RNA", at positions 25 to 518 of the family's 1533-position model. The record is from RNAcentral.